This 473-nucleotide long non-coding RNA is filed under the name Citrus sinensis (sweet orange). RNAcentral's name for it is "long non-coding RNA (CSIN_LNC005712)". Lineage: Eukaryota; Viridiplantae; Streptophyta; Magnoliopsida; Sapindales; Rutaceae. The record is from RNAcentral.
AUGCAUUUGGGUUACUCCAUUCACUACAACUAACAUUAAUUGAUGACAAAAAUAAGAAGCAUCAGCCAUAUUCUCAAUCAAUUUUGAAGAUCCAUUUUCAUAUUUUACUCAACUCAUCAACAAAGCAAACAAAAACUAACAUGCACUAAAAGUUCUUCAUACAUACCUCAUCUGUGGCUUGGAAAAAGUAAGGUAUUAACUGGUAGCCCAUGAAACUCACUGGUCGGUACUCUCUGACCUCGCGGCCUUAAAUCGUUCAUCGCCCGUAUUGGAGUCCUCAACUUCACCGUCAUGGUCCUCAAUUUAUGGGCAAAGUGCUUGAUGAAAGUAUAAGAGAGAAAUUGAAAUAGAUUUUAAGCUUGGUUGCUUCGGCUUUGGCAGAGGAAAGAGAUGAUAACUUUUCAUUUUGUAUUAAUAUUUGUUGAGUAAAAGCAUGUUUACAAGGUAUAAAAGCAUGUUUCAAUUUAUUACCC